GUGGUGUAGCAACAACGUUAUUGGAUGAGGAUGUUCGUGUUAGACAAAGGGUCUAAUUAUGUUUUUUUUUCUCCCUCCCAAAGGUGUCCACAAUUUUUUGGGAUGGGCAGUGGGCCCCUCCUCUCCAACAGUGACGAAAUAACAGUGGGUGUAAAGAGAAUUUGAACUUGCAGCCGGCUACCACUUCUUGGUUGCUCUUGCCCGGAUCAGAACAAGCAACAUACUGGAGUGGGACACUGCACCACAGAAGCAGUGAUUGGAGAGGAUCGGCGCACCCGGGAAAUAAGUGCUUAGUGACCGACUUUCAGAUCAAAUAUUUAUUGGCCACUUUUUACGCAUGACUACACUGGGAGUAACUGGAAUUUCAAGGAUAUAAACUGAUUCUCUUUCUAUAUUUCAUGGAGUUAAAACUUUGUUUAAGGUUCAAGAUGAUACUGAAAAUAAAACAUAUCCUCUGGUUAUACUGCCUGUGUCAAAGUGCAUCUGGAUUCGGUAAGUGUUGCCUACUACUACUUCUACUUCUACUAUUACUACUGCUACUACUACUACUACAGGCUACUACUACUACUACUACUACUAUUAAUACUAAUACUCUCUCUCUCUCUCUCUCUCUCUCUCUCUCUCUCUCUCUCUCUCUCUCUGUACAGUUUAUGUAUGUGUGAGUUUGUUAAAAAAUGAUUAGUUUCACCAUAUUAAAGUGAGAGUUCAGUUCACAUAACAUGGUUGUCCUUAAAAUAAGGGACAUGCGUAAAUGAAUCACUAAUCACAUUAAAUAAAUAAUAAUCUUCAGAUAUGACUUUGUCAAAGCAACAAAAUGACUAGGGCUUCACAGUGACAGUGGAAUUGGGAGACGUUUUGGGAUUAAGUGGGUUAAAAUCCUCCUAGAAGUGGCACAGGUUUUGACAGAGGGACAUGUCAAAAUGCUGAAUUUUGGAACUUUAGCAAGCCUUUAUUGAAUUUUCCAUGCGGUCUAUAUUAAAGGGCACUUAAUUUAAUAUACAGUUGAAGUCGGAAGUUUACACACACUUGGGUCAUGUGUGUAUGAGCCAAGUUGAACAGUUUAAAGGCAAUGCUACCAAAUACUAAUUGAGUGUAUGUAAACUUCUGACCCACUGGGAAUGUGAUGAAAGAAAUAAAAACUGAAAGAAAUAUUUCUCUCUACUAUUUUUCUGACAUUUCACAUUCUUAAAAUAAAGUGGUGAAUCCUAACUGACCUAAGCCAGGGAAUUUUUACUGGGAUAAAAUGUCAGGAAUUGUAAAAAACUGAGUUUAAAUAUAUUUGGCUAAGGUGUAUGUAAACUUCCCACUUCAAGCGUAUAUAAAUAUCAAAGCGAUACAAAAUGCACUUAUUUUGAGGAAUGACCCAUGCAUGUGUCUCAGCACAAUUCAGGUAGGCAAUUAGUCAAAAACACUUGUUGGUACUAAGUCAGUUGGAAAGUAUUGUGCUUUGGGUGGCAGAUAUUCUAGCGGUUAUAGCAUUAGGCCAGUAACCGAAAGUUUGCUGGUUCAAAUACCUGAGCCGACAAGGUGAAAAACCUGUGGUUGUGCCCAUGUGCAAGGCACUUAACUCUAAUCUGUUCCAGGGGUGCCGUGCUUCCUUUGCUGACCUGUUAAAACAACAGAUUCACUAUAUCUAUCCGGUGUAUGUG
This is a long non-coding RNA of Oncorhynchus mykiss (rainbow trout), 1649 nucleotides long. The record is from Ensembl. Lineage: Eukaryota; Metazoa; Chordata; Actinopteri; Salmoniformes; Salmonidae.